GCUAGUGGCCGACAGGAAGAAAAUGAUGAGUAAGAAAGCAUGAAAAAAGCAAGCAAUCAUCCGCAGCCAGUGCAGGCAGCAGUAUGAGGAAGGAGACACAGGGACAGAACAUUCAGUGAGACACGAUCAGAAUAAUGAUACAGAUAUAAGAUGGAGAAUUACAGUGCCAGCUCUUCUGGAGAAUUUUAGAGCUACCACCCUUCAUCUGUACAUCUGCAUGGCACCUCUGGCCUAUGCCCUGCAGGGAAAGAAAGGAAAAAAAAACUUGCCCCAACAAAGGUUCUUCCUCCAGUGACACAUUUUAGGGAAGAUGGGUUAAAUCAAAUUGGUAUCUUUGCUUUGCUGUUCCAGCGAGGGAGAGGGAGGAAGUUGUCUGCCAAGCAGCCUGCAAUGUGCUUAAACAAUUUCACAUCACGGAACUCUGAGGGCAACAAGGAACUUGGGGGGUGGCGGGCCACCAUUUGAGGAUUUCAGACUGCAAAAGGCUCUCUGAGUGAAGGAAGCCAGAGCAGUGUCCACGAGACACAGGACACAGACAGGAUGUGGUGUGGAGAUGACAGACAAGGAAUAAAAAACUCAGUUCUCAUGGCCAGCGAUAAUCCAAAUACAGAUUCCCCCUCUCUCAAAGGUGAGCUUUUUUUUUUUUUUUUAACUUCAGAAGGGUUAAGAGACAUGACGCUAGAGUUUGUAAAUUCUGACAGGAAUUUAUGAACAGCUAAUAAUCAGUCUGUAAGGUAGAAAGCCCCGCCACCCCUCUGUUAUCUAAUUAAAACAAUGAAGAAUGGAAUUUAAAUAAGCCAGCCAUUGUCCUAAAUAUUUAGGUCCAGACCUCCUGGGUCUAGCUAGACCUUCUGGAACAGGGUGUGGGUGGAUGUGAGUGAGGGAUAUAUUUCUGCCCUUGGGAUCUUCACCUGGCAACUGACUAGCCUGGAGGUCUGAGCUGAGGCACCACCCAUAUUCACUGACCUUGACCUUAGGGGAUGUAUGCAAAUUCCAGGGCCCUUCACAUCCCCAUAAAGCCCUGGUUGCCAGGGAAACCAGUUCUGGGACCAAGAUCACAACUGAUUUGCUUACAGGUAACUAUUUUAAAAAGCUCCUUAAUGGGGCUCCUCAUGCUUAAGGCUCCCAGUUUGAGCUGUGGCUUCACAAGUGCCAGGAUGAUACUCCAGGCUCUCUCAUGUGAAACUCAGUCUAAUAUGAAAAACAGUUUUUAAAAGUCAAAGAGGAGUGGUCCGGGAGGUGGCGCAGUGGAUAAAGUGCUGGACUCUCAAGCGUGAGGUCCUGAGUUCGAGCCCCGGCAGCACAUGUACCAGAGUGAUGUCUGGUUCUUUCUCUCCUCCUAUCUUUCUCAUCAAUAAAUAAAUAAAAUCUUUAAAAAAAAAAAAAAAAAGUCAAAGAGGAAGUGAAUCUGGUCUUCCCCUCCCCCGCCCCCCCAGCAAGUGUUCCUCCCCGCAGCUAAAUGAGCAUCUUUCCCUCUGAGGCAGGAACUCUCGCCAGCUUCACAGCUA
Molecule: long non-coding RNA, 1508 nt
Organism: Erinaceus europaeus (western European hedgehog)
Lineage: Eukaryota; Metazoa; Chordata; Mammalia; Eulipotyphla; Erinaceidae
Exons: 2
Source: RefSeq, a predicted model, not a curated record